This 559-nucleotide ribosomal RNA is filed under the name Microchaete tenera ISC 13. Its description in RNAcentral is "bacterial SSU rRNA". It matches the Rfam family "Bacterial small subunit ribosomal RNA", at positions 157 to 748 of the family's 1533-position model. The record is from RNAcentral. Lineage: Bacteria; Bacillati; Cyanobacteriota; Cyanophyceae; Nostocales; Rivulariaceae.
CGGUGGCUAAUACCGGAUGAGCCGAAAGGUAAAAGAUUAAUUGCCUAGAGAUGAGCUCGCGUCUGAUUAGCUAGUUGGUGUGGUAAGAGCGCACCAAGGCGACGAUCAGUAGCUGGUCUGAGAGGAUGAUCAGCCACACUGGGACUGAGACACGGCCCAGACUCCUACGGGAGGCAGCAGUGGGGAAUUUUCCGCAAUGGGCGAAAGCCUGACGGAGCAAUACCGCGUGAGGGAGGAAGGCUCUUGGGUUGUAAACCUCUUUUCUCAAGGAAUAAGAAAGUGAAGGUACUUGAGGAAUAAGCAUCGGCUAACUCCGUGCCAGCAGCCGCGGUAAUACGGAGGAUGCAAGCGUUAUCCGGAAUGAUUGGGCGUAAAGGGUCCGCAGGUGGCCCUGUAAGUCUGCUGUUAAAGAGUGAGGCUCAACCUCAUAAAAGCAGUGGAAACUACAGAGCUAGAGUGCGUUCGGGGUAGCAGGAAUUCCUGGUGUAGCGGUGAAAUGCGUAGAGAUCAGGAAGAACACCGGUGGCGAAAGCGUGCUACUAGGCCGUAACUGACACUG